UAGUCCACGCCGUAAACGAUGGAUACUAGUUGUUUGGAUUUCGAUCUGAGUGACUAAGCGAAAGUGAUAAGUAUCCCACCUGGGGAGUACGUUCGCAAGAAUGAAACUCAAAGGAAUUGACGGGGGCCCGCACAAGCGGUGGAGCAUGUGGUUUAAUUCGAUGAUACGCGAGGAACCUUACCAGGGCUUAAAUGUAGAUUGACAGGUUUAGAGAUAGACUUUUCUUCGGACAAUUUACAAGGUGCUGCAUGGUUGUCGUCAGCUCGUGCCGUGAGGUGUCAGGUUAAGUCCUAUAACGAGCGCAACCCCUGCCGUUAGUUGCCAGCAUUUAAAGAUGGGGACUCUAACGGGACUGCCGGUGCAAACCGUGAGGAAGGUGGGGAUGACGUCAAAUCAUCACGGCCCUUACGUCCUGGGCUACACACGUGCUACAAUGGCCGGUACAGAGAGCAGCCAGUGAGCAAUCACGCGCGAAUCUACAAAACCGGUCACAGUUCGGAUCGGGGU
RNAcentral lists this ribosomal RNA (507 nucleotides) under uncultured bacterium. RNAcentral's name for it is "bacterial SSU rRNA". It matches the Rfam family "Bacterial small subunit ribosomal RNA", at positions 791 to 1304 of the family's 1533-position model. The record is from RNAcentral.